This 253-nucleotide ribosomal RNA is filed under the name uncultured bacterium. Its description in RNAcentral is "partial 16S ribosomal RNA". It matches the Rfam family "Bacterial small subunit ribosomal RNA", at positions 524 to 776 of the family's 1533-position model. The record is from RNAcentral.
UACGGGGGGAGCAAGCGUUGUCCGGAAUUAUUGGGCGUAAAGAGCGUGUAGGCGGUUUGGUAGGUCCGCUGUGAAAACUCGAGGCUCAACCUCGAGACGCCGGUGGAAACCAUCAGGCUAGAGUCCGGAAGAGGAGAGUGGAAUUCCUGGUGUAGCGGUGAAAUGCGCAGAUAUCAGGAAGAACACCCGUGGCUAAGGCGGCUCUCUAGUACGGUACUGACGCUGAGACGCGAAAGCGUGGGGAGCGAACAGG